CAAGUCGUUUAAUUUUAAGAUAUCUUAUAUUUCAUUUAAGGACAUUUCUAUUUGCACCAUCUUUUCUCUCACCACACCUUUUUUUUUCAUAGUGUUAUUUAAUAGGUACCUCUAACCCUUCACUUUGCAUCCCUCACCCUAUCUUUCUCUCUUCUUCCACCUUUGGCACCAAGCUUUUCCCUUUUCUGGUUUCUCCCUCUCUGUUGCCCUAGUUUUGCAGCACCACCUUAUACUC
Molecule: long non-coding RNA, 235 nt
Filed under: Vigna radiata
Lineage: Eukaryota; Viridiplantae; Streptophyta; Magnoliopsida; Fabales; Fabaceae
Description: long non-coding RNA (VRAD_LNC010931)
Source: RNAcentral